This 1299-nucleotide ribosomal RNA is filed under the name activated sludge metagenome. RNAcentral describes it as "bacterial LSU rRNA". It matches the Rfam family "Bacterial large subunit ribosomal RNA", at positions 600 to 1977 of the family's 2925-position model. The record is from RNAcentral.
CGUGCCUUUUGCAUAAUGAUCCUACGAGUUGCUCCUCACUGGCGAGGUUAAGUUCUUGAGUAACGGAGCCGCAGCGAAAGCAAGUCCAAAUAGGGCGACUAGUCAGUGGGGGCAGACGCGAAACUUUGUGAUCUAUCCAUGGGCAGGUUGAAGGUUUGGUAAAACCAACUGGAGGACCGAACCCGUUAACGUUGAAAAGUUCUGGGAUGACCUGUGGAUAGGGGUGAAAGGCCAAUCAAACUGAGAGAUAGCUCGUUCUCCCCGAAAUGUUUUUAGGAACAGCGUCAUAUUAAAGAAGUAUCAUAGAGGUAGAGCUACUGAUUGGGCUAGGGGGCUUCACCGCCUACCAAACCCUGACAAACUCCGAAUGCUAUUAUAUAUCUCCGGGAGUGAGGCUGCGGGCGCUAAGGUCCGUGGCCGAGAGGGAAAUAACCCAGAAUAGCAGCUAAGGUCCCUAAUAAGUAGUUAAGUUGAUCAAACGAGGUAGGACUUCUAUAACAGCCAGGAUGUUUGCUUGGAAGCAGCAAUUCAUUUAAAGAGUGCGUAACAGCUCACUGGUCGAGAGGUCCUGCACGGAAAAUAAUCGGGCAUCAAACUACUAACCGAAGCUUUAUGAUUGCCACUUGGUGGUAUAUCGGUAGGGGAGCAUUGAAACUGCAUUGAAGGUGUACGGUGACGUAUGCUGGAGCGGCUUCAAAAGAAAAUGUAGGCAUAAGUAACGAUAAAUAAGGUGAAAAACCUUAUCGCCGAAAGUCUAAGGGUUCCUGAUCAACGUUAAUCGGAUCAGGGUUAGCCCGGUCCUUAGUCAAACCCGAAAGGGGUAGAUGAUGGAAAGCAGGUUAAUAUUCCUGCGCCUGCUAUACAAUGAAAGUGACGGAGAAUGCUAGUCGUAUAAGCUGACGGAAUAGCUGAGUGGAUCCUUCGGGUGAAGCGUAACGAUGAAAGUUCUUCCAAGAAAAGCGAGUAUAGCAGCCGGUACCGCAAACCGACACAGGUAGACGGGAUGAAUAUUCUAAGGCGCUCGGGUGAGCCGUGGAGAAGGAACUAGGCAAAUUGACGCUGUAACUUCGGGAUAAAGCGUACCGUCUUCGGACGGUCUCAGUAAAAUGGUUCAACCAACUGUUUAACAAAAACACAGGGCCCUGCAAAAUCGAAAGAUGACGUAUAGAGCCUGAUACCUGCCCGGUGCUGGAAGGUUAAGGAAGGAUGUUCGGCGCAAGCCAAAGCUUCUGACUGAAGCCCCAGUAAACGGCGGCCGUAACUAUAACGGUCCUAAGGUAGCGAAAUUCCUUGUCGGGU